RNAcentral lists this ribosomal RNA (468 nucleotides) under uncultured bacterium. Its description in RNAcentral is "partial 16S ribosomal RNA". It matches the Rfam family "Bacterial small subunit ribosomal RNA", at positions 28 to 507 of the family's 1533-position model. The record is from RNAcentral.
GACGAACGCUGGCGGCGUGCUUAACACAUGCAAGUCGAACGGAAAGGCCCUGCUUUUGUGGGGUGCUCGAGUGGCGAACGGGUGAGUAACACGUGAGUAACCUGCCCUUGACUUUGGGAUAACUUCAGGAAACUGGGGCUAAUACCGGAUAGGAGCUCCUGCUGCAUGGUGGGGGUUGGAAGUUUUCGCCGGUUGGGGUUGAAUCAGCGGCUUAUCGGCUUGUUGGUGGGGUAGUGGCUUACCAAGGCUUUGACGGGUAGCCGGCCUGAGAGGGUGACCGGCCACAUUGGGACUGAGAUACGGCCCAGACUCCUACGGGAGGCAGCAGUGGGGAAUAUUGCACAAUGGGCGGAAGCCUGAUGCAGCAACGCCGCGUGCGGGAUGACGGCCUUCGGGUUGUAAACCGCUUUCGCCUGUGACGAAGCGUGAGUGACGGUAAUGGGUAAAGAAGCACCGGCUAACUACGUG